CUCGUGCACGGUUCGCGCACCCACUGACCUGCGCCCACUGUCUGGCACUCCCUAGUGAGAUGAACCCAGUACCUCAGAUGGAAAUGCAGAAAUCACCAUCUUCUGCGUCGCUCACGCUGGGAGCUGUAGACCGGAGCUGUUCCUAUUCGGCCAUCUUGAAUUGUAGGCAUUUUUAAAAACAGACUCUGGAGAUGAAUCUUUUCUAGUUAUAUACUUUGUAUUACAUUUAUGCACUGUCUGCUGCCAAAGAUCUGAAACCAAUGAUCUCAUAUAUAUGGUACAGUUUUCUAGUUAUUUACAGUGGGAGAGUAAAUUAUCCAUGCUCAGAAGUAGUGUGUACUAGUCUCAGUAAGUCAAUGGGUUUCCCUGGAUCCAGGCUUGGAGAAAAUGUUUUCUCUUCUCUAUCUGCAAUUCUCCUGAACCAAUUCUGACGGAUAAUAUGACUGUGUCAACCACAAAAGAGGAAAAGAAUGGGCUUUAAAUCCCGCCUUUACAGCCAUCCAAGGCAGCUCCUUCUUCAAAGGAUGGAACUUUAAGGAUGGAACCAAUUGGCUACAAAUCAUUUUAGCUGAUGCACUGAGACAAUUCUGAAGCAAACUGUCUUAUCCUGGAUUUUGUCAGUAACUGGAGUUGAAGGACUUGAAGAUUCUCAAGGAUUGAUCCAGAAUAUGUUCCAGCAAAAACUACAGCAGAGUAACUUUGACAAGAAAAAUGUUCACUUGCUACCUAAGGAGAGUCUCUGUCUCCUGACCUCUGAAUUUCGAAAUCCUCAGCUCUGGCUGCCACGCAGUGGGAACCGAAUGAGUAUGUACUGAAUGGCGAAUCCUAGUUCAGUCACUUGACUAGCUGGGUGACCUUGAGCAAGUAACUUAGCUUCUUGAAGCCUCAGUCUCCUUAUCUAUAAAAUGGGACUCAAAGGCUGAGUCGAGUAUUAAAUGAAAUAAUACACGUAAAGCACAGUGCCAAAAAUCUGGUAAUAACUCCAUCAGUAUAAGGCCACCUUAUUUGCCUUCUUUCACAAUUAUCACCAGAAUUGAAUUAAAAUUCAGAUGUGAUCAUGUCUUGAAAUGUAGAAAGAGUUAUGAAAAUGUAAGACUUACUAAGUUCACUUAUCGAACAUUUUUUGACCACCUACUAUGUGCUAUGCCUUGGACUAGGCUAGAGAUACAACAGUAAACAUCUUGACUAACGGAGAUUAUGCUGCUAUCUUGAAAUUUUGCCUGUUCCCAAAAGCCCCCAGCAUAUUAAUUUUGUUAAAUAUAUAUUCCCUUAUUAUAUAUAUAAAACAUAUAUAUCCU
Molecule: long non-coding RNA, 1298 nt
Filed under: Homo sapiens (human)
Lineage: Eukaryota; Metazoa; Chordata; Mammalia; Primates; Hominidae
Description: HSALNT0173983
Source: RNAcentral